UACAGAGGUCUCAAGCGUUGUUCGGAUUCAUUGGGCGUAAAGGGUGUGUAGGUGGCGCCGUAAGUCGGGUGUGAAAUUUCGGAGCUUAACUCCGAAACUGCAUUCGAUACUGCGGUGCUUGAGGACUGGAGAGGAGACUGGAAUUCAUGGUGUAGCAGUGAAAUGCGUAGAGAUCGAGAGGAACACCAGUGGCGAAGGCGAGUUCCUGGACAAGUCCUGACGCUGAGGCACGAAAGCCAGGGGAGCAAACAGG
RNAcentral lists this ribosomal RNA (253 nucleotides) under uncultured bacterium. RNAcentral describes it as "partial 16S ribosomal RNA". It matches the Rfam family "Bacterial small subunit ribosomal RNA", at positions 524 to 776 of the family's 1533-position model. The record is from RNAcentral.